RNAcentral lists this ribosomal RNA (564 nucleotides) under uncultured bacterium. RNAcentral's name for it is "partial 16S ribosomal RNA". It matches the Rfam family "Bacterial small subunit ribosomal RNA", at positions 355 to 1375 of the family's 1533-position model. The record is from RNAcentral.
UGGGGAAUAUUGCACAAUGGGCGAAAGCCUGAUGCAGCAACGCCGCGUGAGGGACGACGGCCUUCGGGUUGUAAACCUCUUUAGCAAGGAAGAAGCGAAAGUGACGGUACUUGCAGAAAAAGCGCCGGCUAACUACGUGCCAGCAGCCGCGGUAAUACGUAGGGCGCAAGCGUUAUCCGGAAUUAUUGGGCGUAAAGAGCUCGUAGGCGGUUUGUCGCGUCUGCUGUGAAAACCCGAGGCUCAACCUCGGGCCUGCAGUGGGUACGGGCAGACUAGAGUGCGGUAGGGGAGAUUGGAACUCCUGGUGUAGCGGUGGAAUGCGCAGAUAUCAGGAAGAACACCGAUGGCGAAGGCAGAUCUCUGGGCCGUAACUGACGCUGAGGAGCGAAAGGGUGGGGAGCAAACAGGCUUAGAUACCCUGGUAGUCCACCCGUAAACGUUGGAACUAGUUGUGGGUCCAUUCCACGGAUUCCGUGACGCAGCUAACGCAUUAAGUUCCCCGCCUGGGGAGUACGGCCGCAAGGCUAAAACUUAAAUGAAUUGACGGGGUCAUAGCUGUUUCCU